AGAUUUUUCGGCGAGUCUGUAGGUCCGUUGAUUCCGGUGAAUUUUUCUGCACAAAGGUUUUGAGUUUUUGUUUUCAAGUAUGAAAAUGUCGAUCUACUAAGGAUUAGAGCUUUGACCCGAGGUGUUUCUAUUCGUCAAUUCCCGUUUAAGUUUCCAGCGCCUCUGAAGUUUUCCGGUCCCGGCUUUUGAUUGUAUCACUGUCACUAUAAUUAAAAAUCCCAUCCCAGGUCCAUUCUUCCCCUGUUAUCUCUUUGUUAUUUCCCU
This 264-nucleotide long non-coding RNA is filed under the name Nicotiana benthamiana. RNAcentral describes it as "long non-coding RNA (NBEN_LNC010015)". The record is from RNAcentral. Lineage: Eukaryota; Viridiplantae; Streptophyta; Magnoliopsida; Solanales; Solanaceae.